AGAGUUUGAUCCUGGCUCAGGAUGAACGCUAGCGACAGGCUUAACACAUGCAAGUCGAGGGGCAGCACAGGUAGCAAUACCGGGUGGCGACCGGCGCACGGGUGAGUAACGCGUAUGCAACUUGCCUAUCAGAGGGGGAUAACCCGGCGAAAGUCGGACUAAUACCGCAUGAAGCAGGGAUCCCGCAUGGGAAUAUUUGCUAAAGAUUCAUCGCUGAUAGAUAGGCAUGCGUUCCAUUAGGCAGUUGGCGGGGUAACGGCCCACCAAACCGACGAUGGAUAGGGGUUCUGAGAGGAAGGUCCCCCACAUUGGUACUGAGACACGGACCAAACUCCUACGGGAGGCAGCAGUGAGGAAUAUUGGUCAAUGGCCGAGAGGCUGAACCAGCCAAGUCGCGUGAGGGAUGAAGGUUCUAUGGAUCGUAAACCUCUUUUAUAAGGGAAUAAAGUGCGGGACGUGUCCCGUUUUGUAUGUACCUUAUGAAUAAGGAUCGGCUAACUCCGUGCCAGCAGCCGCGGUAAUACGGAGGAUCCGAGCGUUAUCCGGAUUUAUUGGGUUUAAAGGGUGCGUAGGCGGCCUUUUAAGUCAGCGGUGAAAGUCUGUGGCUCAACCAUAGAAUUGCCGUUGAAACUGGGGGGCUUGAGUAUGUUUGAGGCAGGCGGAAUGCGUGGUGUAGCGGUGAAAUGCAUAGAUAUCACGCAGAACCCCGAUUGCGAAGGCAGCCUGCCAAGCCAUUACUGACGCUGAUGCACGAAAGCGUGGGGAUCAAACAGGAUUAGAUACCCUGGUAGUCCACGCAGUAAACGAUGAUCACUAGCUGUUUGCGAUACACUGUAAGCGGCACAGCGAAAGCGUUAAGUGAUCCACCUGGGGAGUACGCCGGCAACGGUGAAACUCAAAGGAAUUGACGGGGGCCCGCACAAGCGGAGGAACAUGUGGUUUAAUUCGAUGAUACGCGAGGAACCUUACCCGGGUUUGAACGCAUUCGGACCGAGGUGGAAACACCUUUUCUAGCAAUAGCCGUUUGCGAGGUGCUGCAUGGUUGUCGUCAGCUCGUGCCGUGAGGUGUCGGCUUAAGUGCCAUAACGAGCGCAACCCUUGCCACUAGUUACUAACAGGUAAAGCUGAGGACUCUGGUGGGACUGCCAGCGUAAGCUGCGAGGAAGGCGGGGAUGACGUCGAAUCAGCACGGCCCUUACAUCCGGGGCGACACACGUGUUACAAUGGCGUGGACAAAGGGAAGCCACCUGGCGACAGGGAGCGAAUCCCCAAACCACGUCUCAGUUCGGAUCGGAGUCUGCAACCCGACUCCGUGAAGCUGGAUUCGCUAGUAAUCGCGCAUCAGCCAUGGCGCGGUGAAUACGUUCCCGGGCCUUGUACACACCGCCCGUCAAGCCAUGGGAGCCGGGGGUACCUGAAGUCCGUAACCGCGAGGAUCGGCCUAGGGUAAAACUGGUGACUGGGGCUAAGUCGUAACAAGGUA
This 1483-nucleotide ribosomal RNA is filed under the name metagenome. RNAcentral's name for it is "bacterial SSU rRNA". It matches the Rfam family "Bacterial small subunit ribosomal RNA". The record is from RNAcentral.